RNAcentral lists this ribosomal RNA (481 nucleotides) under uncultured bacterium. RNAcentral's name for it is "bacterial SSU rRNA". It matches the Rfam family "Bacterial small subunit ribosomal RNA", at positions 8 to 486 of the family's 1533-position model. The record is from RNAcentral.
AGAGUUUGAUCCUGGCUCAGAUUGAACGCUGGCGGCAUGCCUUACACAUGCAAGUCGAACGGUAGCGGGCCUUCGGGUGCCGACGAGUGGCGAACGGGUGAGUAAUGUAUCGGAACGUACCUUUCAGUGGGGGGUAACGUAGCGAAAGUUACGCUAAUACCGCAUAUUCUGUGAGCAGGAAAGCAGGGGAUCGCAAGACCUUGCGCUGAUUGAGCGGCCGAUAUCAGAUUAGCUAGUUGGUGAGGUAAAGGCUCACCAAGGCGACGAUCUGUAGCGGGUCUGAGAGGAUGAUCCGCCACACUGGAACUGAGACACGGUCCAGACUCCUACGGGAGGCAGCAGUGGGGAAUUUUGGACAAUGGGGGCAACCCUGAUCCAGCCAUGCCGCGUGAGUGAAGAAGGCCUUCGGGUUGUAAAGCUCUUUCGGCCGGGAAGAAAUCGCAUGGGUUAAUACCCUGUGCGGAUGACGGUACCGGCAUAA